AUGUUAUGACGCAGACGACAAGGACGCUGGGUGCGAUGGUUUAUGAGAAAUAUUGAUUUGGAGAGACGGACAUUUGAAUUAAAACAAAUGGAAUAAGAUAUGCAAACCAAGCAGAGGCGGAUUAUUUUCCGAGAAGAAGGUCGCUUUAUUCAAAAAUGGGGACGACUUGUCAAACAGUCAACGAAACAAGAGGCAGAUUCAGAUAACUUAUUUUGGUAAAUAAUUAAUAAAUGGGUAGAUCACUCAGAUCGCUUAAACAAACACACUACAUAUAUUAAGUAUGUUGAAUGCAAUGUUGAAACGUUGCUAAUCAGCGUUGCCAUAUAUUUAUAUACAAACAAACAAACAUUCAUAGCAAGACCGUUGACAACGAUGUCAAGUCCGUUCGUCCUUGGCUUAUUGCAUGACAAUUUUGCCAUGUGUUCGUUCGCCCUACUGUUUUUAAAAACGAAACAAAUAUAUUUAAAUGGCAUAAAGGUUUUAUAAACUGAAUCAGAUAUUAUAUGAAAAAUAGUAGGGAUCUAGCAACCAUUUUACUUUAACAUUAACAUGUUAUGAUGGUAUGACACCUUUUCAACUUUUGAUCUUCAGUGCUGUACAACUUUGUACCUUUUUCACGUUCGAUCUUUUAUAUCUAGGCGUUAUGUAUUCAGGUUUAGUUUUCUGUAAUGUUUGAUGCUUCAGUUUCUUUGUGUAUAUCUCUUUCAUAUUCAUUUGAUGAAAUUUACUGUUUGCAAUAGCAUGAGUUGUUCUAUAUAAUAAGAAUGUUCUUGUCCCGGGCAUAAAAACAAUGCCGUAUUUGGCGAGACCUUUUCAAUUUUUGAUCUUCAGUGCUGUACAACUUUGUACUUUUUUCACUUUCGAUCUUUUAUAUCUGGGCGUCACUGGUGAGUCUUGUGUGGACAAGGCGCGUUUUUGGCGUAUUGAAUUUUAAACCUGAUGCUUUUUGUUAUCUAUUAAUCAUGUUUUUCUUUGUCUAAUAUGUUCUCCUAUUUAUUUGUAUUGUAGUCCUGUAAUAUUAUGUUGUCAUUUCAAUGUUAUAUUUAACUUUGCCAUUAAAGUGCGAGGUUUGGCAUGCCAUAAAACCAGGUUCAACCCACCACUUUUAUUCCCCUUUAAAAGUGUCCUGUACCAAGUCAGGAAGAUGGUCAUUGUUAUAUUAUUGUUCGUUUCUCUGUGUGUUGUAUUUUAACGUUGAGUCGUUUGUGUUUUCUCUUGUUUUUGAGAUAUUGAGAUAAGACGUGGCACGGUACUUGUCUAUCCCAAAUUCUUGUAUUUGGUUUUCAUGUUAUAUUUGUUAUUCUCGUGGUGUUUUGUCUGAUGAUUGGUCAGUUUCUGUGUGUGUUGCGUUUCGGUGUUGUGUCGUUGUUCUCUUAUAUUUAAUGCGUUUCGCUCGGUUUUGGUUUGUUACCCCGAUUUUGUUUUUUGUCCAUGGAUUUAUGAGUUUUGAACAGCGGUAUACUACUGUUGCCUUUAUUUACUUCAAAGGUAAUGACUAUAAAAAAAAAAAGUUUUAUUUAUUUAAAUUAAUAUAUGAAAAUAAAGGGUUGGGUAACAGAACCCCAUCAGCAUUAAGUAGCUUCCCAUACUAAUUAAAUUAGCCUUUCCCCAGUAAUCUACAGGCCAGGAGCUCAAUUUUUGAAAUUUUUUAGUUAGAUUCUGUUGGCCCGUAGUGUAGAUAUGAUUUUAACAGGCCCGAGUGAGAGCAAUUUUACUAGCCUGGGCUGCCACUCAGCGUGAAGACUGCUUCAGUGGCGGAUCCAGAAAUUUUUAUAAGUGGGGGCCCACUGACUGACCUAAGAGGGGGCCCGCUCCAGUCAUGCUUCAGUGAUUCCCUAUAUAAGCAACAAAAUUUUUUCCCAAAAAGGGGGGGGCCGGGCCUCCUGCCCCCCCCCUAAAUCCGCCUCUGUGCUUCCCUACUCCCCACCCCCAAGAUUAAUUGUCUUUGACUUUAUUCAAGAUUAAAUGUAUGAAUUAGUUACAAUGUACAAUGACAUAGUUGACUGAGUUGUAGCACUAGACAUAGUUAAUAGACACUAAAAUUAUAAAAGAUUUACAUAAUACAUGUUUACAGAAGGGGGCAGGACCUUUUUCGUGUUUUUAAGCCCUGGAUUUCAGGAUCAUGACUCAUUCGACCCCCCUCAUUACAUGUUUACUAAAAAUUAUGAUUUAAGAAUAUAAAAUCAUGAAUAUUGUCAUGAUAUUUUGAUAAUACAAUGUACAUGUACGGUACCAUAUAUGAAUAGAAUCUGAUAUGUCAGCGCAGUGGUGGAUCCAAGGGGAGGGUUUCCGGGGUUGGAACCCCCCUUUUUUGGACGAUAAAUGCAAUUGAAAUGAGACAUAUAUUUGGAACACCCCCCCCCCUUUUUUUUAAAUGGCUGGAUCUGCCCCUGCAGUGGUUGUCCUCUGUUUAUGUAGUUAUACAUACCCCACGCAAUAUUGCGUAUAUAAUGUUUUUGACCCGUCAGUCCUGUUUCUUGUCAUAGCAACUCCUCUUGAACCAAACAACAUAAUUUCACGAAACCUUUUUAGAUAAUAAGGACAUAAUAUGUAGAUGUGCAUAUCAACAGGAAAUUACGAUUCAUUUUUUUUUUCAAGAAGUUGCGCCCCUUUGAACUUUUUUGCUUUAAUGUACUACUGCAACAGUUUGUCAUCGCAACUCCUCUGAAACCACACAACUGAAUUUCAUUAAACUUUGUAGAUAAUAAGGACAUACAACGUAGAUGGGCAUACCGACAUGAAAUUACGAUUUAAUUUUUUUUCCAGGAGUUACGCCCCUUUGAACUAAUUUGCUGUAAUAUACUACUGCAACAGUUCAUCAUCGCAACUUCUCUGAAACCAUACAACAGAAUUUCAUGAAACUUUUUAGAUAAUAAGGACAUACUCAUAAUGUAGAUGUGCAUAUUGACAGGAAAUUAUGAUUCAAUUUUUUUUUCUCAUACUAUUUUCUUUUCUUAUUUAAUUUCUCCAAUGACAAUGUGGGGACGUACAUGUAGGGUAUGUGGGCCCGCUCACUAAGGUUCUUAAUUCAUAUAUGUUUCUCAAUUCUCGUUUUUAUAUAGAUUAAACCAUUGGUUUCCCUGUUUGCAUGGUUUAACACUAGUAAUUUUUGGGGCCCUUUAUAGCUUGCUGUUUGGUGUGAGCCAAGGCUACAUGUUGAAGGAUGUACCUUUACCUAUAAUGGUUUACUUUAUUUUUCAUAAAUUGUAAAUUGGAUGGAGAGUUUUCUCAUUGGCACUCAUACCACAUCUUCCUAUAUCUAAAGAUUACAUACCACAAGGCACAUCUUAUUUAUAUAUAUAUAUAUGCUAUGUAACUACUUGGACUAUGGAUAUUGGAUACCUGAUUGAUCAUAUGCAGUCUCGUUAUAUUGUUUCGUAAUCCAACAUAAGUUUGUCUCGACUAAAUAUUAUGAAAGUGCUACUACAUAUAUACACAAUACUUAUUACCACAAAGCACAGAUUGAGGUUGAAAUUUCGUGGAGUCAAAGAGAUAUGCCCCAUUAUUAGAAAAAAUGGCUGAAUCUAGUUUCUGUUCUCUAUCUUAAAAGUAUGUCAUACAAAUGUUUAAAACUUAUGCUUAUAAUCACAAAAUGAAUCCUGCAUCUGUAUCAUGUAUGUUUACAAAAUUGCAAUGCCAAAAGCAAUAACAUUUUGAAGUUUAAACCUUUUUUAGAACUGUCAUAUUGAUAUAAAUCUAAAAAAAGAUAUAUUGUUUCGUAAUCCAACAUAAGUUUGUCUCGACUAAAUAUUAUGAAAGUGCUACUACAUAUAUACACAAUACUUAUUACCACAAAGCACAGAUUGAGGUUGAAAUUUCGUGGAGUCAAAGAGAUAUGCCCCAUUAUUAGAAAAAAUGGCUGAAUCUAGUUUCUGUUCUCUAUCUUAAAAGUAUGUCAUACAAAUGUUUAAAACUUAUGCUUAUAAUCACAAAAUGAAUCCUGCAUCUGUAUACAUGUAUGUUUACAAAAUUGCAAUGCCAAAAGCAAUAACAUUUUGAAGUUUAAACCUUUUUUAGAACUGUCAUAUUGAUAUAAAUCUAAAAAAAGAUACCAUGCUAAUUUCAAAAUUAGCAGAUGCAGCAUGCAAUAUGAAUGCCAAUGUCACACACACAUGACAUUGGCAACUAUCCACCUGAUGGUCAAGUAAAUUUUGUAAAAAUAUUUGCAGAUUAUGCAAAUUAUUUGUACAUGUAUAAUAUUCAUGUAUACAUGUAUGCAUGAAAAUUAAGUAUAUUUUUUUCAAUUUUUCAGUGCCAAUCACUAUUCCAACAACUGAAUAUAAAUUGGUAAGUAUUAGAUACUGUUUUGUAGCAAACAAUUAUAAGCUGUAGCUAUCAAUUUGUCAUGUAUGAUGUACAUGUUCAUUGUAAAUUCUCAUAAUGACAUUUCCACUUGGUGAUUGAAAAAUGUAUGUCAUUUUGCCUGCAUCAGAAGAAGGGGUAAACAAACAAGAUAAAUAAUUGGUCAGCCUAUACUUGCCAUGGCCUUGUGUUGGCACGUCAACAAUAUAAAAAAGAAGAUGUGGUAUGAUUGCCAAUGAGACAACUGUCCACAAGAGACCAAAAUGACACAGACAUAAACAACUAUAGGUCAACGUACAGCCUUCAACAAUGAGCAAAGCCUAUACCGCAUAGUCAGCUAUAAAAGGCCCCGAUGUUUAUGUUCAAAAAGACAAGAUCAACAAAUAGGUCAUAAGGUCAAAUAGCUGGAAUGAAAAUUACCUUAAAAUCAUGCAUGAUAUCAGCAAUUUGGGGAAAACUUAGCGAUAGUUGGUCGUUAGACUAUAUACUGAAAAACUUGUUUAACUUCAAAUUUGAUUUUGCUGCAAAGUCAACCAAUACUAUAGCUUAACAGCACAAAAAUUGUCUUGACAACUCCUUCCAUGAGUUGUUAAUCUUAAAAAGAAUGGUCAUGAUGAUACAGAAAAAUUAAAAGAGACAUUCAAAACUUACAAGAGGAAGUGAAACUUAUGUCUUACAAAACAAAAAAACAACCAUAAGUCCACACACCACUAUUUAGAAAACUAAUUAUAAAAGACUGAACAACAGUAAAUCACCAAAAACAAGAGGCGACAUGUUUAAUAGCAGAUUCACAAUCACGUAAAUAAGUAUUGUUGACCCUGAUUCCGCGCCAUAGCCACACAUAUUUAUGUUAUUAUUUAAAAGACUGUAACAGUUAAACAUAAACUUCAUAAUCAUUUAUUUAAGGGAGGGUAAAAAAAAUCUAAACUUUUUUUAUAUACUAAUUUAUAUAAAACUAUUAUUAUUUUUUCUUUCUUAGGUUUAUCAAAUAUGUUCUUUGGUGUAUGAUCAGAUCCUGUAUAUACUAUAGUAUAGAUCUAACAAGCUUUUAAAAGAAAAGAAAAUUAUGUUUUAGGUAAAUAUAAAUGAUGCAUACAUUGUAUAUAUAUAUAGGAUACAUUG
This 5424-nucleotide long non-coding RNA is filed under the name Mytilus galloprovincialis (Mediterranean mussel). Lineage: Eukaryota; Metazoa; Mollusca; Bivalvia; Mytilida; Mytilidae. The record is from RNAcentral.